UCAGGACGAACGCNGGCGGCGUGCUUAACACAUGCMAGUUGAACGGGCAGAUAUGGAAGCUUGCUGAAGUAUCUGUUAGUAGCGGACGGGUGAGUAAUGCAUGAGGAGCUGUCAUAGGGAGGGGGACAACAGUUGGAAACGGCUGCUAAUACCCCGUAUGCCGGAAGGUGAAAGGGAGCGAUCCGCCCGAUGAGGUACUCAUGUCCUAUCAGCUGGUUGGUGGGGUAACGGCCUACCAAGGCGACGACGGGUAGCCGGCCUGAGAGGGUGAACGGCCACACUGGAACUGAGAUACGGUCCAGACUCCUACGGGAGGCAGCAGUGGGGAAUAUUGGGCAAUGGGGGGAACCCUGACCCAGCGACGCCGCGUGAGGGAAGACGGCCUUCGGGUUGUAAACCUCUUUUGUACGGGAAGAAGGAAGUGACGGUACUGUACGAAUAAGUCCCGGCUAACUACGUGCCAGCAGCCGCGGUAAUACGUAGGGGACGAGCGUUGUCCGGAAUUACUGGGCGUAAAGGGCGCGUAGGCUGUGCUGCAAGUCAGCUGUGAAAUAUCUGGGCUUAACCUGGAUAUGCGGAUGAGACUGCAGUGCUGGAGUGCUGUAGAGGCAAGUGGAAUUCCCAGUGUAGCGGUGAAAUGCGUAGAUAUUGGGAAGAACACCGGUGGCGAAGGCGACUUGCUGGGCAGCAACUGACGCUGAGGCGCGAAAGCCAGGGGAGCGAACGGGAUUAGAUACCCCGGUAGUCCUGGCCGUAAACGAUGAAUGCUAGGUGUGGGUGUAGAGAUACAUUCGUGCCGGANUUAACGCGAUAAGCAUUCCGCCUGGGGAGUACGGUCGCAAGAUUGAAA
RNAcentral lists this ribosomal RNA (850 nucleotides) under uncultured Synergistes sp. RNAcentral describes it as "bacterial SSU rRNA". It matches the Rfam family "Bacterial small subunit ribosomal RNA", at positions 24 to 899 of the family's 1533-position model. Lineage: Bacteria; Thermotogati; Synergistota; Synergistia; Synergistales; Synergistaceae. The record is from RNAcentral.